GCUUUGGGGACCAAGGGUUAGCGGCCCUCACGUAUAUAACGGGGCCAAGCAGCAGGGCUGGGCUGCAGGCUGCCUGCCGCUCACCCAGCAGGGCUGACCCGGCCCCGGACAGCAGCGCUCGGGAGGCAGGAGCUGCAAGGGCUGCCACUCCCCCGCCCCGACAGGGCAGCGCACACCUGGGCACAGAUAAAGCAGCUCCCAAAACACAGCAGCUCCCCUCUGUGAGCGCAGCCCGCAGCAGGACACGCGCCCUGCUCUCCUAUCAGCACCGACCUGCUGCUACUCGGGCUCUGCAGCGGGGACGUCGCGCAGUGUUGGGAGCCAGCCAGGCUCAGAGCCCUUCUCURCAACAGCUCCUCCAGGAUGGCCACCUCCGGACAAGUGAUCAGAUGCAGAGCCGCUGUGGCCUGGGAGGUGGGCAAACCACUCUCUGUGGAGGAGGUGGAGGUUGCACCCCCCAGAGCGAGAGAAGUUCGUGUCAAG
Long non-coding RNA from Nothoprocta perdicaria, 483 nucleotides. RefSeq lists it as uncharacterized. NCBI's taxonomy places the organism in Eukaryota, Metazoa, Chordata, Aves, Tinamiformes, Tinamidae. The transcript is spliced from 2 exons. The record is from RefSeq and is a predicted model, not a curated record.